AGAGGGGUGGGAAGUGAUGGGACAGGGUGGGUUGUGAUGGCAGCACAGAGUACUCUGAAGAUUUCUUUAUAAGAUUUGUGCAAUUAGACUUGAACAAUUUGAGUUUUAAUGACUGGAAUUAAAAUAAGCUAUACCAUUUUUCUGAGUACACAAAUAUCUAUGAUCCACUUGCAGGUGUUUUUCUACUGUAAUUGAGGCCAAUUUGAGAAAAAUUUUUGUUUGCCAGGUGUCAUGCAGCAUUUGAGAUAAAAGAAAAAUGUUUUGAUAGUCUAGAGUGAGAGUCAGGAUAUGUUUAAGCCUGCAAAAUACAAAUAGGUAGAAAUGUGACAAUGUGUUUGUUUAAUUUGGGCAUGCGGAUCACUUGUGUUUGGAAUGUCAUAUUUUCCUUUCAUUUAUUCGUAAGCUACAGCCUACAUGUGAACCUAUGCACAUAAUUUGGAAAUACUGAGUAGAUCAAUCUUGUUUGAGUACCUCUGUUAAAACCCAGGAAUAAUGUAUUGAUGCAAUCCCACACUGUUUCAUGGGAGGGCUGUCAGCCCUGCAUGGUACACGUGGUGCCAUCUGUACUACAAAGAAAGUAUCAAGGCACUGAAAAAAGUGUUAUGUCGCUCAGUAGUAGUGUUGUAGGGAUAGGCACAACAUAACGAAUGCUAAAUUUGUAGUGCUGCUUUCUAGGCUCAAUGCAAUUGUUUCAGCAAGGUUGGGUUUCCCAAUUAGGAAAGAGGGAGGAAAGUAAUGUUUUUAAGUAAUUUCUGUAUUAAUGAGAAAAAUGAGGCUUAUCCAGUUUAAUAUGUUGGGUGGAAUAUAUUCAAGGGCUUGUUUAGUUGGCUUUUUUUCCCCCCAAAGAAGCACUUUGAGAUCUUUUGUAUCUUGGUGACAGCGGCUAGUGGAUUUCUGUCUGGAUUUUAGUGAACAUAGCACAAAAUUCAACACAGUUGGAAUUGGAAUUAUCACUGACAGUUUUGGUGCAAAUUUGAAAAGGAAGGCCAAAGUUUAAAGCAAGUGGCUCUGGAGAAUGUACUGUUCUCUUACUCAAUCACAAGUCACCCUUAGGGGGACUCUUUUCAAGUAAAGGUCACUGUUGCAGCCUGCAGUCACUCCUUUGAGCAAAUAAUGCAGUCUAUCUCCAAUAUUAAAGGCACACAUUUUAAAAAAAAGUCUUAAAAUAGUUUUCAGCAAAGACUUUAUUCAUCAUUAUUAUUAUUAUUAUUAUCAUCAUCAUUGUAACUGACUCCAGAAUUACACUUAGAUAUAUCCUUCUGUCUACACAAGAAAGGAAACUGUUCUUACAGACUCAAAUUACAGGUAAGAGUUGAGGGAUAGUUACCCUGAGCUUCUUGGCGUAUUUUAGAGGUGCCACGGGUCUGUUUCUCACAUCACACUUUUUGCCGAUAUGCAAGGCCCUUCAAAAUCCCCUUUGGCAAGAACAGACUUUUUACUCUGCAUUACAUAUUCUUCUGCAGAACAUCAAGCUGUACAUCCCAGCUCCAAGUCAGGAAAAAUGUUAAAUCCAAAGCUGCUGUGACCACUUCAAGAGAAAUGUUACAUAAUUUGGUGUGAAGCAAAAAAAUAAAAGGGAAAAUGCUGGCCAUAUUACAGGCCUCAUUCAGGGACACACAGUCCACAAUGUCUAUUCAGCUUGAAACACAGAAAGAAUAUUCUAAACUAGGAUCAGAAUCCAAUUCUUCAAGGAGGUGCCGUGAAGCUCAACUGCUUGAGGAAAACAGAUGUGAAUGUGUCGCUCAAAUUUUAAGAAAUGCAGCUUUUUGGAUGUGUUUAACUAUGUGUUUCAGGUAAUUGAAUUAGUCUUACGGCAUGGAAUUUUAGAGGAAUAGCUAAGUUUACUUAAUAUUCUAAAGAAAUGUAAAACCCGAGUUAGAGAGCUGUAUGUUGGCAGUAGCUCAGCUCAUAUCAAUGGCCUUGUAUCAGUGUAAAACAUGUGAGAAUGGAAUCAUGCUCUUGAUACGUACUCUGGGCUCAAACUGAAGAGUGAGAGGAGAGAAACACAUUUAUAUUACUGAGGGGUAAAAUAUUCUGUGAAAAUGUGGGGUAUUACUGUUAGGAGCUGCAGGUGGCUGUCAUCAUUCUGAAGAGACAGAUUUUGACAACACUAUACAAAAUAUGAGAGAUUGCAAGAAAUGUAGUUCCCAAAUUGUCAGGCACAAGAAAAGAGUAUUUGGAGGGUGGGUUUUUAUUGUUGUUUUUAGAGAUGAAUAAUUAUGGGUAAGUGAGUGAGUGAAAGGAAAUUACAGAGAUGUACUAAUUGAUAUAGCUAUCUACCUCUGAAUCCAAAAAGGCCAAUAAAUAAAGGGAAUUAACCCAAACACAUUGUAGAGCAUCUACACCAAAUAUAUUAGACCUACUGCUCAGAGCCAUAGGUUUUUGUUUUUCAUAAAUUCUGGCAAUGUUCUCAGUCCUCUCCUGCCAAUAAUGUCUGACUGCAAUGAAAUAUUUUGCCCCUCUAUUUCUCCCUUUCUUUCUCUCUUUUGCCUUUCCCUCUUCCUUCCUGUAUGCACACUUGAAUCUGUUAUUUCACUGUUGUUAGUCAGUGAAUCCUAGACCUUUUAUUGAAGUGAUAUAACUAAAAAUUUCUGGUGAGUGAUUUAUUGUUCUAUUCUUGCUGAACGUUGCUGACUGUUAUCACAGUAAAUGUAAGUAGUGUCACUGAAGUCAGCAGAUCUAUGCUGAAUUAAUCAGUAUGGAUUCUGUUCCUGAGAGUCAUAAUUGAUAAAGUCAUUUGUGUGCUUGAAACAAGUCAUGAAUGGAUGUGUCAGUAUAGGUUCCUUAAAACUGGCUUAACUGUACAUUUAAUUAAUUUUGGAGGGUGUCACCUUCACACAAAGGAACUCAGCUUCAAAAUAUAUUUGGUCUUGGUAAAGGUAUUUGUAAUGUGAUUAUUCAUAAACUUAGUUUAUCAGUAUUAGAUUUUUGUCUGCUCUUUAUAUUUUGUGUAUUAAAUACCAGGCUUUUAAAAAUAAGUAGGUUACCAUGCAGAUUGGAAGCCAACAAAUGGAUGUAGUUUCAAACACUACACAGUGCUGUACAUUCAAAAGUGAUGCAGGGUUAAAAAAAAUGGCCUGUUUUCAGUAAAAUGCUUAGAUAUGAGCAUAUUUCUAUUUUAUACCCAUUUUAAAUGUGUGAAAGAGAUUGAGAAAUAUUUAAUGAUGAAACUACUAAAACAUGAUAUUCAAAUAUACUGACAAGAAGCUGCUCUAAUAUCUUUUCUUCCUGUCUUUUAUAUGCCUCCUCUGGUUUCUUGUCUUUGUAUAUUUAAUACAAUACUUUCCUCCAAUUUGCACAGCCUUGCCUAAUCUUUUUUCUUAUAUAGUUCUUGCACUCAUUUUUCUCUCUCAAUCAUGUAUUUCCAUGUCUUUCUUCUCUUCUAUGAACUCAGUAUUUCUUCUCAUGCUUCUCUUAUUCCUGUGCUACUGGCUUCCUGUAAGCAUCUGUAUUAUUAGACUGUUUUCCAUAUUCUAAUUUUAUAAUCUAUUUUUAUUGCUCUUUGAAUUUGAUUCCCAAAGUAUUGUUUCAGCUAUUGGAAAUACGGAAAAAAAUUUCGAGGAUAUUGUUUAUUUAAACAGCAACUUUCAUAAGUUACCAAGAACAUAUGACAGUGAAGAACAGAUUCAUUCCAUGACUGUUCUUACAAGAUGGAAGUAUUUCUCGGCCUCCUUCUCCCCACUAUUCCUCAGAUAACUGUCCCAUUAGUGGGAUAUGCAUUGGAAUCCAAUGGAUUCCAAUUUACCAUUCCAAAAUACCCAAUUUUGGGUGGACUGCUAAAAUAUAGAUGGAUGACAUCUUCAAUGCAGACAUGUAUAUCUGGUCUCCUUAUUCCCCUGGUAUGGUCAACAAAUAGAAACAGGUGAUUCUAAUAAUGUUUUUCAUUGAAUCUUGCUAUGACUGCUAGAAGUAAGUUAUCUGAUUCCAUGCUGAUAGCUUUUCUUUUCCCUAUUCUAAUGUAAAUUUCUGAGGUUGUGUGAGAUAAACCUUAUUUCUGCUAUCUCUUAUAGUGGGUUGGUAAAGUUAAUUCUCCAUUUCACUUCCCAGUUUCUUUGGGUAUCCCCUUCCCUGAAUCUGGUUUUUUUUGUCUAAUUUGAAUGAAAGUCAGACCUUUUAUACAAUUUCUCUGCUAGAGACUUGCUAUUUGUAACAAGUCAUACUGAAGCUGUGCCUUUGAGCCCAUCAAGGAAGGUCUCUGAUACAAGAUCCAGUCCUUCCAGUGUGGGCAUGAGGACAUAUCUUCCCAAGCCCUAGUAAGCAAUCAUAAGAAUGCCCACGUAAAUCUCCAAGUCUUUUCCUUCUAGCAGCGUAGUUUUUCUGUCCCUGUUUCCAUCUUCACCUUCCACCCUGUAUCUUUUGGUUUCCAGUGGCCCUGCACCAAGCUGGACUAGGGCAUCACUGCAGCAGUGGGGUCACACUCCCAUGCCCUCCUGCAAGAUGCUGUCUGCAUAUCUGAGGGCAGGCUUGUUCUGGCUCCUCCUGCCCCCAGGAAGCAGGCGGGGGGCUGCAUGCCAAUUUUACACCUGGCAGACACCCAGGGGAGUGCUGAGGCUCAGGAAGGAUCUCUGUGUUGCUUCAGUGCUUGCAGCCUCCUCCUCCAGCAUGGCAAAUGGUACAUGGCUGAAAACCACCACCCCAAUCCUGUACCUAACUGCUGUCAGCUACAGGCUUGGCACCAUGUGGACAAGUCCAGUCUGUGCUCUCGGAUCCUCCAUGCCUGGAAACAAUCUGCCACUGCAGCCCUGCUUGUAAAUUACCAAAAAUCGAAAGUAUGGAUAACUGACUAUUGAUCACAUGCUUGGGAGGAGGAAUUCUUAUGGUUUAAAGUCCUCACAGCAUUACUGAAUUUAGGAGAUAUGUGGCACACUUAAAGUCAGGAAUUCACAUACCUGUUCAUAUGAAGGUUUCUGAUGCCUACCCUAAUAAUUGUUGUUGAAAGACUAGCAAGAGUCAAUGUCUUUUUUACUACUGCUCUGUUAAAGAUGAUAUUCUAGGUUCUCCUUCUCUCUGCUUGUCUUGAUUAAUGCAGUGCUCUUCUGCCUUUGUCUCCUUUCUUGAGUUAUUGUCUUCCAACAUGUCUUAACAAGUUUCUUAAAGCUAUGAACCCUUUGGGCCAGGGAUAUGUCUUGUUAGAACUUAAGUGGUGUAGAAGCAAUUUUUACCAUGCUAGAAUAAAAUUUAAAUAUAGAUAGGAGAUAUAAUAAGACUGCACUCACAUACGUGGCCGUAGUUGGAAAUGUCCACUUGAGAGCAGAACAAGGGGCACAGUCUGCAAAGGUCAGGCUCACUAACUAUAUAUCCUAUAAUUAGUAAUAAUCUCCCCACUUUAAUUGUAACUGAUAGAACUUCAUGCCAUAAAUUUUUUUAUUGUUGUUGUUUAAAAGGUUUGGUUUGUGAUACAAUAAUAAGUACUUGUCUAAAUUGCUUAUUUAUUAACUCUUUAUUAAUCUGAAUAUGCACAUUUUCUUCACUCCAAUCUUUAUUAUGCAAAAUGCCAUUAAGCAAUUAACUUUAAUAUAGUAACUGCUACUAAGUACUUAGAAAUAAGGAUGUAGGUGGCAUGUCUUGUGUGUUACCAACUGGCAUUAAUUAUGAAGUUGAACUUUUGCACUAAAGUCCUACUACCUCUGUAGUUUUAAUAUAGAAACCAUGUCUCUUAGGAAAACGUAUUUCUUAAAAUGCUUAUGUGGAUUUUUCUCCCUGUUGUAUUUUUGGGCAGAGGAUGUCAAUUAGGAAACUUGAAAACUGUAGUUGGUGCAGAGAGAAAUAGAGGCAAGUUUAAUAUAUAAGAAACCUUAACUGUUUCUAUAGGCUCAAAAUUAAAGUGAUUUUAAAGUUCAGUUAUUAAUCACAUGCAUUUUUAACCAAUAAAAUUGCUAAUUCUUCUUCUAGUAGGGGAACCAUCCACCAGAUCAGAGUCUCAUUUAGCCUGGCCUUGAACAAUUCCAGGUAUGGGGAAUCAAUCCACAUCUCUAGUAAACCAGUUCCAGUGCCUCACCACCCUCCGAGUAAAUAAUUUCUUCUUAACAUCUAAUCUGAGCCUGCCUUCUUUCAGUUUAGAAACAUUGUCCCUUGUCAUGUCACUAUCUGCCAUAUGAAAAGUCACUUUCCCUCCUUUUUGAGCCCCCUCAAGGUACUGGAAAGCUGUAAUAAAGCCUCUCCAAAGCCUUUUCUUCUCCAUGCUGAACAACUCCAACUCUCUGCCUUUUCUUAUAGGAAGGGUGUUCCAGUCCCAUCAUCAACUUAGUGUCUCUCCUAUGGAGUCAUUCCAACAGGUCGACGGCUUUCUUUUUCAUUUUACAGAAGGCAUUUUCCCCAUUUUUUAUCAUCACUUACUGUGUUUUAAGUUAAAACACUUGCUCACUUGCUUUUUAUUCCAGCUGGCUGGUAAUAAGGUGAACAUAAAUGUAAAACCUGAGAGUUUGGAGUAAUAAGAUGACUAUGAAACAUACACAAUUUUUAUGUUUCCUGACAAAUCAGAUGGAGAAAUAAGUGAGGAGGGAAAUGGGCAUGAUUGCCUGAAAUGAGAAUGGAAAUGAAUUACUUCAUAAGUAGUUCACCUAAGUAGGUGUGUCAGAAUUAUUUUUUUUUGCAACAGCAUUUUGCCGUUGACAACAUUGCACAUUCAGCCCAUGACAAAAUUCUAAUUAUUGUCUUGCACUAUUUGACUUGACAGUUUCUACUUGACUAAGCUGUAGCAGUGGACAAACAAAUUGUUGAUCAUUGGAUUAGUGGAGUUCCUGUAGUAAAGACAUAGAAAGCUAAACAGUACAGGUGUCUUUAGUCAAAAGUAAAAGUAAAGGAAAUUGUGCUAGUGUAUUUUAUAGAAACAGUUUAUAAUGCACCAAUGAACACACAAGCAUUUUUAAAGAAAUUGGUAUACUUACGUACAAUUAAAUUAUCUGGAAAGCACUGGAGUAGCAGUCUUGGCAGCUACUAAAUAUUUACCCAACUCUGAUCACAGCAAUGUUUGACUUCUUAAGUAUUCCCUGCAGCUGCAGAUGCCCUGUCUUACUGCAACGUUCUCUUCAGCAUUUUUGAAUGCAGUGCCAAAGAUACCUGUAUAGGGCCUAUGUACAGGAAAAAGAGGACUUUUCAGAAGACUCUGCACCAGGAUUAUAGCUAUUGGCACCUCUUUCCCUUCCCACUCAAAUCAACCAGGCCAUGCUCCAGGACAAUGCCCAGGUUCUUGUUCCAGACUUUUCCACCCUGAAUGUUUCCAAUGUUUAUGUUUCUAUAGCAUGGAGAAAAAAAAAAUGAAAUAUUCUUGACUUUGUCUCAGCUUUAUGUGUCUUCCAUGUAAGAUAACUCUAAGGAAUGGGAAUUGACAAGAAUUGUCUUUGGACUGAACAGUAUCACAGUUAGUCUGCAGUGUUCUGUAUUGACUAGUCAGUUGGUGGAUGUGGAUUGCAUUCUGCCUCAGGAACACAUCCCCAGUAUGCACUUUUACAGAUUUGUCUUGGACCAAUGUCAAAGUGAACUUUUGAGAGACCCAACCCUAUAAUGGGUGAGGAGCCGAGCUACAGGACGCACUGGGAGUUAAAAACCACAAAUGCAGGAAAAGAACUUUAAACUCAGGAGAGGGACUUUUAUUGCUUGCUUAUGUUUUUUUCCUUAAAAAAAGUAGGCAUCCCUGUGAAGUUUUAUUUUUAUAUACAAGUCUGAAUGGACAAAUCAUGUCUUGGUUUGCAGCAUUACCUUGAUGAGCAGAUUAGUUAUGACAUCCUUUGAUUGAUUUUCUGUAAGCUUAGGGCCAUACACCCAUUUUACAAACUAAUUCAAGGGAUUUCUAGUGAGAAACCUGUCUCUUGGUUAUAUUGACUUUUAUCCAAUCUUCAUCUUCCCUGCUGACUUAGAAGUUAGUGCUCACUCCAGGACUGAAGCUGGAUGAGUUGGUGGAGUCCUCUGCAUGAUGCCUUGAGCAGCUGCUGUGAAGAACCACAGGGCACUGAGAAGCUGAACACUAGAUCCCAAUAGCCUUUUGUCAGUUCUCUGGCCAUGAGCUUCAUGAAUCACAGUGAAGGUAUUUUACUGUACUAUAUUUCAGAUCCCUUGGAAAAAAAAAGAAAAUGUACACAUUACUGUCUCCUAAACUUACCAUGAAGGAAUGCCUUCAUUUAAAUCUUUGCUUCCUACAUACCUAGACCCAUAUAUGGAUACACACUUCAUUCACAUUAUCAGUCCAGAAAAGGGCUUUCUGCCUCAUCAUUCUCUUUCUGCCAUUCAUUCCUCUGCAUGGCCUGUGAUGUGUCUCUGGAUGUCUAUAAAUUGAGUGGCUUUUUAGUCUUUAUUCAAAAGAGACAGUGAUGGAAGUAACCACAAGACAUUUUGGUGUGUCUUAGUCAUGGGAGGGUGGAGGCUGAACUACAGUGUUCAAGAGCUCAGGUGAGAUGAAUCUAUAGUCUGUAGAUAAAGCAUAUCUUCAGUUUCAGACAUCACCAGCAACAGGCCUUUGGAAGACAGUGGGAAGGGAAAGGCAAAACUCACCAGCCCAGGUUUCUUCCUCUGUUUCCAGAUGGUGUUGAAGAUGCUGGUACAAAAUUAAACAGUGUCUCCCAUGCAGUGAUACAGGGUAGAUCUCUCAGAUAUAUCCCAGAGCAGGUUUUCACAGGUGUGCUUUGAGAGCUUAUGGGAGAGGUAUGUCUGAAGACUCCUUGUUUUCUGAGCGGUGGAUGUGCUUGGAAUAUGCUGGCAUGACCAUGGAGACCUGAACACAACACACCUUAUGGGGCUGAUUUUUUGGAAGUGGUUAAAGCAUACUAUCACAUAGUCACAGACAGCCCAGGUAAUGUACUGUUCUGUAUGAAACCCUCUAAUGAGCUAUAAAACACAAUGGACAAGGUUGCUUGAGUAAUGAAUGUAUGUACCCUCUUUCUCUGAGAGGGCUGCCAUUCAGUUUGAAUUAAGUGUUCUUUUCCCUUAUUUUUUCAUGCCAGUAUUUGGCACAUCUCUACCAAUGCCAAUGUACAUGUCACUUUGUUCUCUGUUUUAUUUUGUGUAAUGAUCAUCUCUUUCACAGGAAUGAGGAAUGGAGAGUGAAAGCAAUUCACUGAAGUUCAAUUUAAUGAGGGAGAAAAUGUCCAGAUACUGUGAAUGAAGCAAAAUGAAGCAAACUUGCAUUAUUUUAUCCCCCACCCCCUUUUCAUUUGAACUGUUUAUUUUUAAACAGUUUUUCCUUUUUUUCCAUUUUACUCUUCUCUCAUGUAAUGUAUUUAUGAUACAAAAUUGAAUAAACAUAACAUUUUCAACUAUAGAUUUGAAGAGUUUCAAAAGAUGCCCCAGUAACUACAUUCCAUAGACACAAAUAUGUUAAAUAACUUUGCCAAGUUAACUGAGGAGGGAACAAUAAUAAAAAUGAGAACAGAGAGCCUUUUUCUUACUCUAUUCUUCAGUGACAACAUGUGGUGCAGAACUAUUACAAUGGAUGCAGAAAAGCUAGGAUGUGUUCAUAGAUGACAUUCAGGAAAAUUAAAAUUAUCUGUAAUAGAAAGGGAAUGAAUACCCCGAACUCUUUAUACCUUUAUGCACAUUAAAUUUUAUUCAAUGGGAGUAGUUUCUCACAACUCAAUAAAGUUAUUCAUUUGGUACAUAAAAUUAAGCAUAGAUUUAAGUGCCUUCAGGAUGAAAGCAUUGUGAAUAAUAUUAACAUCAGAGUUGUUUUCUGUUUUCUUUCUGAGCCCAUACUCUUGACUUUUGAUUGUAAUUUUUUGCUUUGUUUUUUUUGGGGUUUUUUUGUUUGCUUGUUUUGUUUUGUUAUUGCCUGCCCUUCAUAAGGAACUAUUAUAAGGGAAUAGUUGCUCCUUGUCUUUUGUAAUAGGUGAUUGUAAUUUGAUCUGAAACAGAUGAAAACAGUGACUGAGAUGAAAAAUAAAAUGCACUAUGAAAAUAUGGGAAAGUUACAGCAUACAGUUAAAACAAGUAAGACAUCAAAGCCUUUGCCACUUUCUACAUAAAGGAUAAGUUUUAGUUUAAGUACACAAACACUUAGCUUUUUUUACAGAGCUCUCACUCAUGUCUUUUUGCUAAUUUGUCUAUUUGUACUACCUUAAUAUAUUUUGCAAGCCAUUUUUGAAGGUAAAAUUUGAUAUAACUAAAUUUACCUCUGAAAAGAUUAAAUGUAAGUGGUUUAAAAUGGGUAGCUUUAAGGGAACACCAUCUGGUACAUGGUUAUUAAAAAAGCCCAUGAAAAUAUUGCAUGACAAAAUUAAUACACAGCUAAAUUAACAUAAAAAACCUAAAUUAACAAGCCAGUUCAAAAUGCUGAUUAUGAUUAAUUUUGUAUAUAAGUUUGCACAAUUUUGGAUCUCUGUUAUGACCCUUGGUAAGAUGUAGAAGGGAUUUUCGUAGGACACACAAUAUAGCAGUAUUUGAGGGGAUUAGUAGUACUUGAGGGGAUAAGGACCAGUAGAAGUCACUCAGCAUUUUUUUUUCUAUCAGGUUACCCUAUUAAUAAACAUCUAUAAUAAUGAAAGAAUUGAAAAAUUGGAUUUUUGAGGAGGUUAAGUGGGAUUUUUAUAAGCUCACUUUUUUAUGAGAGACUUAGAAGUACACUGAAAGUUAUGACAGAUGUGAAGUUGCUAUACAUUAAUGUUUAAUCUAAAAUACUGAUCAAAAUUUCUUGGACAUUGCAUUUUUGUUGACAUUUCAUAUUAUUCUUGCCUUGGUCACUGAAAUCCCAUUGCUCUAUAUCUGUGGUGAAUUAUGAACAGUCUCUGUAGUAUUAGGCUGAUUAACUUAAUAGGAAGCUAUGUGCAAAAUAAGCAAAAAUAAAUAAAUAAGUAAACAAAGUGCACAAUCCAUCCCUGUCAGCAUUCCCAAGACAUUAAGUGAAGGACAGUAUUGCAAUUUCUUAGUGUCAGCGGUUCUGGUUUUGACAAGGUGCAAACUUUGGUUUGACAGAGAUAGUCUUCAAAGCGAUACAACAGUUAGCAAAUACCCUUAUAUGUUUUGAUUUCUAGGAAAUUGAAGGUCAGUUGUUACAAACUGCUUAGGGAGACAAGCUGACAGGAAGAUAAAGGGAGAACACUCCGGGAGCCGAAAGAUGGAGGCCUUCAUCCGUUCUGAGAGCAGCGUGUUCUGGUAGGGAGGCUAAAGGUGUGUGCAAUGAGACAGGGAGCUGCUAAGGCAAUGCUCAUGAAACUAACACAACUUUUUCUUCUUGCAUGCCAACUUAACCCACUGUUGUAGCACCAGCACUGUUCAGUGGUUCAGCAUUUGGAAAAAGUUCAGUGGUUCAGCAUUUGCAAAAGUAUUGAUGUGAUGCUGUAUAGGUAAAAUCCUAGUAAAUGGCUGAUAAUAGUUUUCAAGGUAAAUUUUAAUUAACUGGUAAAUAUUUGAUGUGUUCAGAAAACAUGACAAUGAAACCUAGCUAAUAGAUGAUGCUAGUAAUAUAGAGAGUGGGAACCACCCUGGAGGACUCAGGGGAGAGUCUCUCAAGGAGACUCAGGGGAGACCUUAUUACUCUCUGCAACUCCCUGAAAGGUGGCUGUGUCAGGUGAGAGUUGGUCUCUUUCACCAGGCAGCAGCUGGCAGAACAGGAGGACAAAGCUUUAAGCUGAGCCAAGGGAAAUAUUGGUUGGAUAUUAGGAAAAUAAUUUUUACAGAAAGAAUGAUAAAGUGUUGGAAUGUUUUGCCUGGAGAGGUGGUGGAGUCACCAUCCUUGGAUGUAUUUUACAAAAGACUGGAUGUUGCACUCAGUGCCAUGAUCUAGUUGAGGCGUUUAGGGCAUGGGUUGGACUCAAUGAUCUUGAAUGUCUCUUCCAACCUAGUGGUUCUUUGUGUGACACUGUGACUCCAAGCAAAUUUGGAUAUCUGGUGUCGCCUACCCGCAUUCCUAUUUUUCACUGUGUCUCCCUUACAUACAAGUCCUAGCACAGGAUGUUUCUCUUCCUUGAGCUCUUCCUUUUUAUGGCCAUAGGGGCACCAUAUCACCAUAGGGGCAGCCAAUGGUGAACUACUUUGGAUCUAUAUUUUAGAUGGCUGAAAUGAAGUGAGAUAAAUCAUGCCUGAAGUUGAUAAGUUCUCUUUCCACAGGCUUCUCUCCUCUCCACUCUGUUUUUCUAUCUAUCCAUAUAUAAUUUCUAUAUGGACCUAAAACAUAGGCUUCACAGGUGUGUGUGUUUGUGUCUGUGUGUGUGUUUAUGAACACAUAUACAAGGACAUUUGUCAGAUUUUUUAAGGAUGUGAUUCGGCCUUUAAAAAACAACUCUUACUUGUAUGUGCUAUAUGUCAUCUGCGUAUAUGAGAAUUUGAAAAUUAAAGAAUCGCCUCUGUCCUUUCCACAAAAUUUAAAAAUUCUGUCAGCAAAUGUUUUAACAGUUUGCUAAGCAGCAGCCUUCUCUCUGUUGGGUCCAUGGUUAACUGCUCCUCAACUGCUGUAAUAAAAAUCUGUAGCCACGUCCCAAACUGUUGCAAGUGUUGUGAUCAACAUACACAGAAUUUGCUAGAUCUCUUAUUAGCUUGGACUGUUCUAAGCCCUAUCUUUCCCCCCCACAGCCCAGGUCACAAGUAAAAAUAUAUAGCUUUAAAUAAAAAUACAGAUAAAAACAUGAGUAGGAAAAUAUUUAUAGCUCACAGGAAAAAAUAAAACUCUUUCCCUUUUCCCCUUGCUCUUAUUUUAAUUGUUUUAGAGUGGAAACAGGACUGCCUAACCAAUUUUGAGGAGGUGAGCACUAUUUUUAGGGUAUUCUGGUGCCUUCAUUGUUGUUAUGAUUGCACAAAGGUUUAAGAGCAGGAGUGGGGCCCUCUACUUACCACCUGGGCCCCACCUGUUUACACAAUGCUAUGGUAUAGUUACUUUGUUAAAAAAAAAAACCAAAAAACUGUGAUCCAUAAUUUGUUCUGGGGGUAAUUUUAUAGUCAUUUCUGCCUUGUAAUUCAAAUUCUGAAUUAUCUUCUGGGCUCGAAGUUAAAAAAAAAACCCAAAAACCAAAAAAAUCCAGGUGUGGCUCCAAACUCAGAAGGAUUUGGCUACCAGUAGAGUCAGAAGGAGCUGAGAGCCAAGACAUCUGCUUUCACAUAGGUAAAAUCCUGUCUAAGAGGGAGGCAUGAGGCUUAUAAGUGCUGAAGUAAUUGGUAGCUGGAGUCAAUGAAUUACUUACUCUUACAGAGAUGACAUGCUCAUGUAAGAGACAGAGCUUCUGGGUCCAGGCAGCUGUUGAUUUUGAAACUCCACACAAACUUACAGAAGCAAUGUGUUUUUCAGUUCUGUAGUUUUAAUUAUUCUUUCCUACUGGUGGGAGCAGGAUGAAAAUUCCUGAACUCAAUAUUCAGAGAGACAAACUAUUUCAGGUUUCACAACUUGACCCUGAAUUCAGAAAACAUCCUACUUUUUGAAAUGUGUGAUUUCUGGAAAACUCGAGUUCAGUUAAUCCUUCCCACCCCAUCACCUCCCCAUCCCCAUUUCUUCAGUGGCUGGGAUUCCUCUUUGUCUUUUUUGUUAGAGCUCUGAUUUUAGCUGGGGCUCUGGCAAUCCUUCCUCUCAGCAGCUUAUCUCUAAGGAGGUUACUCAUGGUCUCCUCCAGUUCCCUGGGCAUGGUGACAGAGUUUGGUCUGCUCACCUGAUGCUACUCAGUGUUCACUACCCAGAGCUAGCCAAUAGUUUGACUUUUACAUAGAAGAGAAUAAGUUAAAACAAACAAUAUAAUUGUAUUUUCAGCAGGCUGGAGGGUUCCUUAAAGAAACUAGGUCCCAUAUUUUAGUUACCAGGAACAACAGUUUUAAGUCUUUGAAGUCAUUUCAGUCUCUUUUGUUUUUAAAAUAGGAUAUGUUGGAUACAAUUCAGUGUAUUACAUGUUAACUUUUAACAUAAGCCCUUGAAAGCAUCUUUCUUAAUACAAACCUGAUACAUAGACUGUUAACUUUGACAAAAUAAGCAAGUGGAUCUGGUACACUAUACAAAAUUGUGGCUGGCUUCUUAUUUAUUGCAUAACGUACUUUUGACCUGCUAAGACCUGAUGGCUGCCCAGGGGAGGUGACUUUGUAUUCACUGACAAGUUGAAAAGAAACAUAUUUUUUUCAACAAAUUAGUGAUUCAGAUAAUAAUUUAGCAAGAUUUGCUUAUUUGCAGUGUCUGAGGGCUGAUCUUACAUAUUUUUUGUUGUUAUUUUGGUUCUAAAUGUCGCCUUGCCUUGCCUUGCCUUGCCUCUUACAUUUGUUAAAAUCAGUGCAUACAAAUCCUCACAAUUAAAGUUUAUUUUGAAAACGUUCACAAUAUUAUUUUUUUUUUAAAUGUGUACUGCUGAAUUAAGUUAUUUUAUACCACCAUAUGAUUAUAAUUGGUUAUUACAUCAGUGAUGACCAAUACCAAGUGUGUACUACAGGGAUGAAAGAGGUUCAUCAAUGUAUUUUUUACCAGGCAUUUUACCACAUAAAACUUUUGCCUUUAUAUUUCAUCUGAGAUUUUGAAUUGUUACAAUUAGGAGAUGCAUAAUGAUUCAGCAGUACACUUUACCAGUUCUGCCUAUUACUGUCCUACUCAUAUACACACAACUCAUGCUGUCUUACUCUGUUCUGGAAAAUAAAGAGAAUGUUAAUAAAUUUUAGAGAAUAACUUAAACUAAAUUUUGUUAGAAUUAUUUAUUGAUCUAGGAUUUUGAAACAUCUUUAUGGCAAAUAUCCAUAUUAUUUCUGUUACAGAUGAACAAAUUGCAUUCAUGGUUCAGUGUGAUCCAUUCAUUGGUUCAUGGAUCCCAAAGUCCUCAGGCAGUGUGACAAAUCCACAUAAUUUCCCUGAAUGCUAGGUUGUGCAUGUUUUGUAUCUGAUUAAGUUGAAAGAUGUGUUAAAGAAACAUGGAAAAAUCCUCAUGUAUAAAAAUCCUCAGACAGCUCCCAAUAGCUACAUAUCUCAGAAAUCUCUGGAGCAUUUUGUUAUUCAAAGCAAAAUUGGCAGUAAUUUACACUCAAUAAAUUGGUUCCAGAUCUGCCUGUUUCAGAUGCUAUCACAAGGACAUGAUUUUAUGUGAGAUUCCCUUACCUUUUGUCAAAGUGUGUUCUUUUUAAGAAAUUUGCCAUGGUAAAUGCAGAUGAUAAAGAGACUCCCUUGCCUUGCAGAGCAUGAAAGAAUGUAAUGGAUCAAUAGUUCAUAUACAAGCUAUGUUCUGAUCAAAUAAAAUCAUCCUUUUUUCCCAAAGUUUUUUGAAAAAGAAGGUUCUGGAUUCAUGCAAAAAUCAUGGCAUAUAUAAUUCAUAAUGCAUUAAUUAAGCCUCCAUUUGCUACAAACCACACAGUCUUUGCAGAGAGGUACAAUAAGUUUUGAUUUGUAACCAAAGAAAAGUGAAAAGCCCUGUAGCAGUCAGGCCUUGGCUCUGAAGAACUAGUCCUUUGUAUAGUUUUAGGUUCAUUGCUGUUUAACAGCUUUGCCAAAUAAUAGUUCGUUACAAAACUGAUUAAUUUGGUUCAGGAUUUUUUUUCUAAGGCAGCUGUGAAGAAAGACAGCUUAUCUGCCUGCAAGUUGUAAAUUCAUAGAAAAAAGUAGUUUAAAAAAUAACAACAGCAAUUAUAAUUAAGUAUGAAAAUGUGAAAUUAAGAAAAUGAAAAUUUAGACUGAAAGACAAAUAGUUUUCUCAUGGUAACAUCACUUAGACUUGAAACUUUCAAACAAAAAUAUUUGAAACAUUGAAACAAAUAAAAGGAAAAAAAAUCACUGUCAAGCACUGAGAAAAGGAUAAUUUAAAUAAUGUAAUAAUUCUUUUAUGUUUUGAACUUACCAGCUCUGUGAUUAUGAAUGGCUGUAAUUUUAGGAGAAGAAGGAAAAUGUGCUUUGUUCAGAUGAUAGUGGUACUUUGUUGGUUGCCUGAAUGGGUCUGAGAGAGAAAUCCUGUUGUGAAGUUGCUCAUAUCUCUAUACAUUCUAUUAUUUGAAGGAAAAACUACUUUCAGUGGACAUGCAUUGAAGAGGUUCAUAGACACCCAUUGCUUGACUCCAGUUUAAGUUUCAGUUGCAGGAUGAGGUCAACAACAUCAUGUACCUCUGAUACAAGCGUACUUUGUGACUUGAAAUCAAUGAGUAUUGGAAGCAGAAAACAUCUCGCCUGUUCUUAUCUCUUUCUAUAAAGGAAAGCAUCAGAUAGCUGAUAAAGGUAGUGUUUUUACUAUUUCUGUCAGUUUGGUGCCACUUAAGAAAAUUCUGGUGUUCCUAUUGCUUUGUGAGUUUAAUUGACUGUAAUACCUCCAUCUUUCACCUUUACUACUUGCCUUGUUUUUUUGUUUUUUGUUUUUUUUAAUUUCAGGAAAACUUGAGAAUAUCUAAGAUUCCACUGUAUUCUUGGAUCACAGUAUUUAUGUACCCUGUUUCCUUAAUCUAGGGAAAAAUAAAUGAAAUUUGCACUUUUUUUUGUAGUUACUGGCAAAGAUAUGUUUGUAGAAGCUUUUUCUCUUCUUCUAUCAAAACAUGUUGCUAAGACUUACUGCUAGAGUAUAAUAUUAUUGCUCUUUUUUUCACUUGAAAAAUAUUUAUUUGUAGGUAUUUGUCCUUUUGUUCAUAUUACAGCACUGCAGCUAGACCUUUAAGUGUUGACAUGAUGCUUUAUGGUGCUCCUUAGAAGUACAUCAAUUCUAUUAGACAAAUCAUCGUGUAAGACCCCUUCAUCUGAAAGAAAACUGAUCCUAUAUGAUUCUUUAUAUGUUUACAUAGGCUAUCCAUAGCUGUCUGAAGAUAUCAGGUGGAGAAACAGUCCAAAUAAAAAAUCCAGGCUUUCUUUAAACAAGGUAGUGAGUUGGCAAGGCUCUGGUAGUGGGAAGAUACAGGAAUGACUCCUGUGAGAAGCUGCUAGAGGUUUUCUCCAUGUCAAAUAGAGCCAACGCCAGCCAGAUCAAAUAUGAACCCAUCACUGUUCAAGGCCAAAGCCCAUCAGCAAACGUGGGAGCACUUUUGGGGGAGUGUAUUUAAGACAGGGAUAGAAGUUAUUCCUUUGGAGCAUUUGCAGCCAGUGAGAGGAGUGAGAAUAUGUGAAGGGAACAGCUCUGCGGACACCAAGGUCAGUGCAGAAGGAGGGGCAGGAGGU
Molecule: long non-coding RNA, 17002 nt
Organism: Parus major (Great Tit)
Lineage: Eukaryota; Metazoa; Chordata; Aves; Passeriformes; Paridae
Exons: 4
Source: RefSeq, a predicted model, not a curated record